GAGUUUGAUCCUGGCUCAGGAUUAACGCUGGCGGCGUGCCUUACGCAUGCAAGUCGAACGGUCUCGAUGGUUUCGGCUGUCGGGAUAGUGGCGGACGGGUGAGUAACACGUAGGCAACCUGUCCUGAAGUGGGGAAUAACCAGCCGAAAGGUUGGCUAAUACCGCAUGUGGUCGGUUCCGGCCUGCCAGAGCUGAUUAAAGCCUUCGGGCGCUUCUGGAGGGGCCUGCGGCCGAUUAGCUAGUUGGUGGGGUAACGGCCUACCAAGGUGACGAUCGGUAGCUGGUCUGAGAGGAUGGCCAGCCACACGGGGACUGAGACACGGCCUCGACUCCUACGGGAGGCAGCAGCGAGGAAUCUUGCGCAAUGGGCGAAAGCCUGACGCAGCAACGCCGCGUGGGUGAUGAAGGCCUUCGGGUCGUAAAGCCCUUUUGCGGGGGAAGAAGUUCUGACGGUACCCCGCGAAUAAGCCACGGCUAACUACGUGCCAGCAGCCGCGGUAAUACGUAGGUGGCAAGCGUUGUCCGGAUUUAUUGGGCGUAAAGAGCGCGUAGGCGGCUCGUCAAGUCCGGGGUGAAAUCUCCCGGCCCAACUGGGAGGGGUCCUCGGAUACUGGCAGGCUAAGAGGAGAGCAGAGGAGAGUGGAAUUCCCGGUGUA
Molecule: ribosomal RNA, 656 nt
Filed under: uncultured bacterium
Lineage: Bacteria
Description: bacterial SSU rRNA
Rfam family: Bacterial small subunit ribosomal RNA
Source: RNAcentral